RNAcentral lists this ribosomal RNA (303 nucleotides) under uncultured bacterium. RNAcentral describes it as "bacterial SSU rRNA". It matches the Rfam family "Bacterial small subunit ribosomal RNA", at positions 29 to 313 of the family's 1533-position model. The record is from RNAcentral.
AGUGAACGCUGGCGGCAGGCCUAACACAUGCAAGUCGAGCGAGAAAAGGGGAGCAAUCCCCUGAGUACAGCGGCGCACGGGUGAGUAACACGUAGGUGACCUCCCCUCGAGCCCGGAAUAACCUACCGAAAGGUGGGCUAAUACCGGAUAUGACCACGGAAGUUUCGGCUUCUGCGGUGAAAGAUGGCCUCUACCUGUAAGCUAUCACUCAAGGAUGGGCCUGCGUGCCAUUAGCUAGUUGGUGAGGUAACGGCUCACAAAGGCUAUGAUGGCUAGCUGGUCUGAGAGGAUGGCCAGCCACAC